GGGAAUGUCGUAUAGUGGCUAAUACCUCAGCGCUUCCAAGCUGAAGACGCGGGUUCGAUUCCCGUCAUUCCCUCCA
The sequence is a transfer RNA, 76 nucleotides long. It matches the Rfam family "tRNA". From Rfam's summary of the family: Transfer RNA (tRNA) molecules are approximately 80 nucleotides in length. Their secondary structure includes four short double-helical elements and three loops (D, anti-codon, and T loops).